GAUGAAGAACGCAGCGAAAUGCGAUACGUAGUGUGAAUUGCAGAAUCCAGUGAAUCAUCGAAUCUUUGAACGCACAUUGCGCCCGCCAGUAUUCUGGCGGGCAUGCCUGUUCGAGCGUCAUUUCAACCAUCAAGCCCCAGGCUUGUGUUGGGGACCUGCGGCUGCCGCAGGCCCUGAAAACCAGUGGCGGGCUCGCUGUCACACCGGGCGUAGUAGAUUUUAUCUCGCUCAGGGCGUGCUGCGGGUUCCGGCCGUUAAAAAGCCUUUUUUACCCAAGGUUGACCUCGGAUCAGGUAGGAAGACCCGCUGAACUUAAGCAUAUCAAUAAGCGGAGGA
Molecule: unclassified non-coding RNA, 336 nt
Filed under: soil metagenome
Description: partial contains 5.8S ribosomal RNA, internal transcribed spacer 2, and large subunit ribosomal RNA
Rfam family: 5.8S ribosomal RNA (bases 1-120)
Source: RNAcentral